ACUCCUACGGGAGGCAGCAGUGGGGAAUAUUGCACAAUGGGCGCAAGCCUGAUGCAGCAACGCCGCGUGAGUGAUGAAGGCCUUCGGGUCGUAAAGCUCUGUCCUCAAGGAAGAAUAAAUGACGGUACUUGAGGAGGAACGCCCCGGCUAACUACGUGCCAGCAGCCGCGGUAAUACGUAGGGGCAAGCGUUAUCCGGAAUCACUGGGCGUAAAGGGUGCGUAGGCGGUUUUUCAAGUCAGAAGUGAAAGGCUAUGGCUCAACCAUAGUAAGCUUUUGAAACUGUUAAACUUGAGUGCAGGAGAGGAAAAGUGGAAUUCCUAGUGUAGAGGUGAAAUUCGUAGAUAUUAGGAGGAACACCAGUGGCGAAGGCGACUUUCUGGACUGUAACUGACGCUGAGGCACGAAAGCGUGGGAGCGAACAGGAUUAGAUACCCGUGUAGCACAGAG
Molecule: ribosomal RNA, 449 nt
Filed under: uncultured bacterium
Lineage: Bacteria
Description: bacterial SSU rRNA
Rfam family: Bacterial small subunit ribosomal RNA
Source: RNAcentral